This 453-nucleotide ribosomal RNA is filed under the name uncultured bacterium. RNAcentral describes it as "bacterial SSU rRNA". It matches the Rfam family "Bacterial small subunit ribosomal RNA", at positions 340 to 786 of the family's 1533-position model. The record is from RNAcentral.
UACGGGAGGCAGCAGUGGGGAAUAUUGCACAAUGGGCGCAAGCCUGAUGCAGCCAUGCCGCGUGUAUGAAGAAGGCCUUCGGGUUGUAAAGUACUUUCAGUCGUGAGGAAGGUGUUAAGGUUAAUAACCUUAGCAAUUGACGUUAGCGACAGAAGAAGCACCGGCUAACUCCGUGCCAGCAGUCGCGGUAAUACGGAGGGUGCGAGCGUUAAUCGGAAUUACUGGGCGUAAAGGGCACGCAGGCGGUUAAUUAAGUUGGAUGUGAAAUCCCCGGGCUUAACCUGGGAAUGGCAUUCAAGACUGGUUAGCUAGAGUCUUGUAGAGGGGGUAGAAUUCCAUGUGUAGCGGUGAAAUGCGUAGAGAUGUGGAGGAAUACCGGUGGCGAAGGCGGCCCCUGGACAAAGACUGACGCUCAUGUGCGAAAGCGUGGGGAGCAAACAGGGAUUAGAUACC